AUUCUCCAAACUGCUUCAAAAAGGUUCAGGAAUCUUGAAGCUUUCCUGGAAUUGAUUGAUGCUCAGUCAACAGGCACGUUUGUGUACCACUUUUCAUUAUGAGUUUCCACAUUGUUCAUUUUAUCUUUCCAGGAAGUGCUGUGGAACAUCAGAUAGAAUGGAUAGCACAGCCCAAAUUUUACAAAAAGGAUUUUAAAGGAAGAUCUCAAUGGUGGAACACUAGAGGCUUUCCUGCUAAAGUUAAGAACAAGCAAAGGCUGACGCAGUUUUGGCAUGCAGGAAGUGUUGGAGCUGAGACUCGAAACUGUCCCCCAGGCCUUGGCCAUGCUGAUAAAUAUCUAGGCCCUACAGGAGUUCGUGUCCAUGAACCCAGUAAACGCAAUUCCUCAGCCUUAAAAUCUAGUCACUGACUCAUUUCAGGCCCCAGCACAGACGAAAACAAGCCAUUCUGUUUGCCCAGUUUACAUUGCGGGUCUCCAAGAAGUGGAAUGUUCACCAAUGAUUUUAAGAAAACAGGGCCUGGCGCGGUGGCUCACGCCUGUAAUCCCAGCACUUUGGGAGGCCGAGGCAGGCAGAUCACCUGAGGUUGGGAGUUUGAGAUCAGCCUGACCAACAUGGAGAAACCCCAUUUCUACUAAAAAUACAAAAUUAGCCGGGUGUGGUGGUGCAUGCUUGUAAUCCCAGCUACUCAGGAGGCUGAGGCAGAAUUGCCUGAAGCUGGGAGGCGGAGGUUGCAGUGAGCCAGAGAUCGUGCCAUUACAUUCCAGCCUGGGCAACAAGAGCAAAACUCUGUCUCAAAAUAAUAAUAAUAAUAAUAAUAAUUAAAAAAAAAAAAACAGUACGAGUGUGAAGAUCGGAAGGUGGAGGUGAGGGAGGUGAGAGGUCUUGGGCCUGCCCACAUUCUUCCUAAGCUAUUUUGGCUGGCCCAGGCUGGGAGGCCAGGAAUUGCUUUUCCUCUUCAAAAGAAAAGGGGACAAAAAAUUAGCUGGGCGUGGUAGCACUCAUCUGUAGUCCCAGCUACUCAGGAGGCUGAGGCAGAAGAAUUGCUUGAACCGGGGAGGCAGAGGUUGCAGUAAGCUGAGAUUGUGCUGCUGCCCUCCAGCCUGGGUGACAGAGCGAGACUCGGUCUCAAAAAAAAAAAAAAAAAAAAUGGGGAGGAGGACAGGGCAUGGUGGUUCAUGCCUAUAAUUCCAGCAUUUUGGGAGGCCAAGGCAGGCAGAUCACUUGAGGCCAGGAGUUCGAGACCAACCUGGGCAACACAGUGAAACCCUUUCUCUACUAAAACUACAAAAAAUUACCUGGGCAUGGCAGCACAUGCCUGUAAUUUCAGCUACUCGGGAGGCUGAGGCAUGAGAAUCACUUGAACCUGAGAGGGGGAGGUUGCAGUGAGCCAAGAUGGCACCACUGCACUCCAGCCUGGGCAACAGCGUGAGACUCUGUCUCAAAAAAAAAAAAAAAAAAAAAAAAUGGCUGGGACACCGUGACUCAUGCCUGUAAUUCCAGCACUUUGGGAGGCAGAGGCAGGAGGAUCCCUGUGAGGCCAGGAGUUCAAGACCAGCCUGGGCAACAUAGUGAGACCCAGUCUCUAUAAAAAAAUUAAAAAUUAGCCAGGCGUGGUGGUGUAUUCCUGUAGUCCCAGGUACCGGGGAGGUUGAGGUGGGAGGAUCCCUUGAGCCCAGGACUUCGAGGCUGCAGUGAGCUAUGAUCACGCCACUGCACUCCAGCCUUGGCGACAGAGCAACACCCAUCUCUUAAAUAUUAUUUAUUAUAAGGCUUUUGGGCUGGGUGCUGUGGCUCACGCCUGUAAUCCCAGCACUUUGGGAGGCCGAGGCGGGCGGAUCACGAGGUCAGGAGAUUAACACCAUCCUGGCUAACACGGUGAAACCCUGUCUCUACUAAAAAUACAAAAAAUUAGCCGGGUGUGGUGGCAUGCGCCUCUAGUCCCAGCUACUCAGUAGGCUGAGGCAGGAGUAUGGCGUGAACCUGGGAGUCGGAGCUUGCAGUGAGCCGAGAUCGCACCACUGCACUCCAGCCUGGGCAACAGAGCGAGACUCCGUCUCAAAAAAAAAAAAAAAAAGACUUUUGAUUGGGUUAGACCUCACCAGUUAGAGAUGCUCCUUUAGUUAUCUGAGGCUGCUGAGUGGGGUAAUCCUAGACCUGGAUGCUAGUUUGAAGAAAGCAAGUCUCAGUGCUGGAAGGGGUCAUUCAAGGUCAUCCAUGAGCUUCUGCUGAGCCAGGUGCUAUAGGUGGGCUAGGUGGGACAGGAGACAGGUCAGCAUCCAGGGUCCUUGAAGGGACCAUGUCCUUAAGAAGAGGUAGGAUGCCUCCAAUGCAGUGGUCCACUGCACGGUGUGGCUGAGACUGCUACAGAGGACACAUGGGAAGACCUGCCAGGGUUGGGGGUGGGGGAGGAGCAAGGGCGUCAUCCUGGAAGUCACCCCCAAAUAGGGCCAAGAAAGAUCAGAGAGACAGCAAAGCUCUAAUACCACCCUCUGCAAACCCCACCUAUGGCGACCUCUCACCUCCUGUCUCCUAUUCUCAAACUGGCCUAUGCCUAAGGGCCAACCCAGAGACACUUCCACACUGGUCCCUGUCACACGAGACACGCUGGAAGAUGGGAAUGGCCAACCUCCAGACACACACACAUCCAGGCUCCUAUCCCCAGAGUGCGUGUUCUCAUCCUACUGCAUCUCGGAGGCUGGCAGGGUGAAUCCCCCAGCAGGUCAGGUAGGUCUGAGGUGUCUCAGCCUGAACUCAUGACUCCAAACCACCUUCACGCCUUCGUCCCAACCCAGAAGGAAGAGAUCCAGGGAGGAGGGCACACAUCGGGCUGCAGGCCAACACACUGACCCUGAGCCUGGCCUCCCCAGCAUCAGGCUGAGGAACAGGAGGGUUGAGAUGAGCCCCAUUAGGUAUGUGUGAAGUCUCUGGGACAUGGGAUGAUGCCAGCUGCUGGGAUGCAGAAAAGUUGGAGGCAGGGGACAGAGUCUCAUUCAAAAGAAUUUGUCCAUAAUCCAAGCUGGGUGUUGUGGCUCACGCCUAUAAUCCCAGCACUUUGGGAGGCCCAAGCAGAUGGAUCACUUGAGGUCAGGAGUUCAAGACCAGCCUGGCCAACAUGCUGAAACCCCGUCUCUACUAAAAAUAUAAAAAUUACCCGUAUGUGGUAGCCCAGGCCUGUAAUCCCAGUUACUUGGGAGGCUGAGGUGGGAGGAUUGCUUGAACCCAGGAGGUGGAGGUUGCAGUGAGCCCAGAUCAUGCCACUGCACACCAGCCUGGGCAACAAAGCGAGCAAAGCGAGACUCCAUUUCAAAAAAAAAAAAAAAAAAUUUUAGCUGCGUGUGCUGGCACAUGCCUGCAAAUCCCAGCUACUCCGGAGGCUGAGGCAUGAGAAUCACUUGAACCUGGGAGGCAGAGGUUACAGUGAGCCGCCAGCAACUGUAUCUCAAAUAAAUAAAUAAAUAAAUAAGAAUUUGUCUGGAAUCUGGGUGAGGCAGAGGAAAAUGAAAGAAACCAGAAAAGCAAAGAUAAACAGAUUUGCAGGGUGGGGUGGAGGAUGGAGAAUUCAAUGGAGCUGAGCACAGCAAGGAGGAGAAUGUUGGGCUGAAGGCCUGAGCUUGCUGGGGAGAUGUCCUUGAUGUCCACACUGGGCAUAGAAGGUUGAUUGAUGCCAGUGGUUAGGGUCCCAAAGAGCCCAGGGACAGCUGGAGGUAGAAAGAAAGGGUGUGGAGGCACGGAAGAUGGGCCCAUAACCCAGGAAAAGGGAGCCACAGAUAGGGGAAAUGUAUGCAGAAAUCGCCACCCUCACUCUGGGAGGCAGGUCCCGACAGAUCCCCUUAGCAGGGGACCAAUGCCCAGGACCUUGGGGAGAUGGUUGGGGACGGGGGAAGCAGCAGAUGGUCUGUUACUCAAUGAGCACACAGGAGAUGUUGGGGGGUCUUGGGGUGGAGAGUGAUUCCAUGGAAGCCUCUGGAUUGGACAAGGAGAUGUUGGUGUGAGGUUUUUCCACAGUCCAAGAGAGGCGAUUGGACAAGGAGAUGUUGGUGUGAGGUUUUUCCACAGUCCAAGAGAGGCUGGUAGAAGAAAAGCAGGUUCUGCUAUCAGGCCGGGUGCAGUGGCUCACACCUGUAAUCUCAGCCCUUUGGGAGGCCCAGGUGGGAGCAUCACAUGAGGACAGGCAUUCGAGAGCAGCCUGGGCAAGAUGGUGAAAC
Molecule: long non-coding RNA, 4208 nt
Filed under: Homo sapiens (human)
Lineage: Eukaryota; Metazoa; Chordata; Mammalia; Primates; Hominidae
Description: HSALNT0342291
Source: RNAcentral